GGCGGCAUGGCGGAAUUGGCAGACGUGCUGGACUCAAAAUCCAGUGUCCGCAAGGACGUCCCGGUUCGACCCCGGGUGCCGCUACCA
RNAcentral lists this transfer RNA (87 nucleotides) under Deltaproteobacteria bacterium. RNAcentral describes it as "tRNA-Leu". It matches the Rfam family "tRNA". From Rfam's summary of the family: Transfer RNA (tRNA) molecules are approximately 80 nucleotides in length. Their secondary structure includes four short double-helical elements and three loops (D, anti-codon, and T loops). The record is from RNAcentral. Lineage: Bacteria; Pseudomonadati; Myxococcota; Myxococcia.